GGAAUUAGUUGGCUGAUCAUUUAACAAAUUUAGCAAUAGACAAAGGGAUUUCAGCAUAACAUCAUUUCAAUAAUUAUAAGUUAAAGGAAAGAAGAUCCUUAACAGUGAAAAGCUACAAUGUCCAUACAUUAGAUUAUCAUUAACAAAACGAUGAUAAGAUUGAAGGCCACAGUAAAGUACUACCAGGGAUCACAAGCAAACAUUUAUAAUACAGGAGGGCAAUAACAAAACCCAAAAACUGACUUACCUGUAUAAAUUCAUCCAUAAAAAAGACUCUUAGUAAUAUCUAUGCAUCUAAUACACCUGAGAAGUAGAAGGUAGUUCAAAUAUUUAUGGCUCCGAGUAUCCAGUUAUCUCCCUCCCAGCCACAUCUGUACGCAAAGAGGAGUAAAUAGGAAGCUACAAUUGAGAAAGAAGGAUAGAUAGAAGAAAUCAUAGUUUAUGUGGACAUGCAAUUAGUCUUAAGGACCUACGAUCCUUAAUUAAGCACCAAAAAAGAAGAAACAUUCCAUCCACCAAAGAACUCACCUAUAUACAAGCAGAAAUAGAGGAAAAAAGUUUAAAAAUGAAGAAGUUGAGAUGAAUAGUAAUAUUCAAAGGCAACAAAGGGAUAAAUUCUUACUUUUGAGAGAUGAAGAUAGUACAGUAUCGACGAUCUAGGGCAAAGUGUUGAUGACCCAAAGCACAAGCAAGAUAAAUUAAAGAUUCAGGGGAGAGCGCAUCAUUUUUCACCUGGAAAUGAGCUUAAUCAGCGGAGAAGAAGACAACAAAGUGAAUUAGGAAACCCUAAGGGACCUUGUAUACGUCUCAAUCAAUUAGGUUUGGC
Molecule: long non-coding RNA, 826 nt
Filed under: Capsicum annuum
Lineage: Eukaryota; Viridiplantae; Streptophyta; Magnoliopsida; Solanales; Solanaceae
Description: long non-coding RNA (CANN_LNC008073)
Source: RNAcentral